RNAcentral lists this ribosomal RNA (607 nucleotides) under uncultured bacterium. RNAcentral's name for it is "bacterial SSU rRNA". The stretch from base 1 to 514 matches the Rfam family "Bacterial small subunit ribosomal RNA", at positions 338 to 873 of the family's 1533-position model. The record is from RNAcentral.
CCUACGGGAGGCAGCAGUGGGGAAUCUUGCGCAAUGGGCGAAAGCCUGACGCAGCCAUGCCGCGUGUAUGAUGAAGGUCUUAGGAUUGUAAAAUACUUUCACCGGUGAAGAUAAUGACUGUAGCCGGAGAAGAAGCCCCGGCUAACUUCGUGCCAGCAGCCGCGGUAAUACGAAGGGGGCUAGCGUUGCUCGGAAUUACUGGGCGUAAAGGGAGCGUAGGCGGACAUUUAAGUCAGGGGUGAAAUCCCAGAGCUCAACUCUGGAACUGCCUUUGAUACUGGGUGUCUUGAGUGUGAUAGAGGUAUGUGGAACUCCGAGUGUAGAGGUGAAAUUCGUAGAUAUUCGGAAGAACACCAGUGGCGAAGGCGACAUACUGGAUCAUUACUGACGCUGAGGCUCGAAAGCGUGGGGAGCAAACAGGAUUAGAUACCCUGGUAGUCCACGCCGUAAACGAUGAUUGCUAGUUGUCGGGAUGUUUACAUCUCGGUGACGCAGCUACGCAUAGACAUCCGCCGUGGGAGGUACGGUCGCGAAGUAAGUUAAACGUUAAAGGUUAAAGUUAGUUACGGCGUGAGACGUUGCCGACGGACGACGACGAGGGAGGAGG